This 442-nucleotide ribosomal RNA is filed under the name uncultured bacterium. RNAcentral's name for it is "partial 16S ribosomal RNA". It matches the Rfam family "Bacterial small subunit ribosomal RNA", at positions 339 to 795 of the family's 1533-position model. The record is from RNAcentral.
CUACGGGGGGCUCCAGUAGGGAAUUUUGCGCAAUGGGCGAAAGCCUGACGCAGCAACACCGCGUGUGGGAUGAAGCUUUUCGGAGUGUAAACCACUGUCAGUGGGGACGAAUAAAUGACGGUACCCACAGAGGAAGCACCGGCUAACUCCGUGCCAGCAGGCCGCGGUAAGACGGAGGGUGCAAGCGUUGUCCGGAAUUAUUGGGCGUAAAGCGUUCGUAGGCGGCAUGUCAAGUCUGAUGUUAAAGCCCGGAGCUCAACUCCGGUUCGGCAUUGGAUACUGGCAAGCUAGAGUGCAGAAGAGGCAAGGGGAAUUCCUAGUGUAGCGGUGAAAUGCGUAGAUAUUAGGAGGAACACCAGUUGCGUAAGCGCCUUGCUGGGCUGAAACUGACGCUGAGGGACGAAAGCCAGGGUAGCGAAUGGGAUUAGAUACCCCGGUAGUC